AUGAACCGCGGCGAACCCUUACACGACCCUUCUAAGAUAAGGGGGGAGAUCCUCAGUAGUGGUGACCCUUUGACUCUUCCACUGACUUAUAUAUGUAUCAAAUGCUCAUACGGGAAAGUGAACUCCUGGGUCUGGGGGUUGCUCCGAGAAAAAAUCCUUUCUUUCUCGUCCACUCUAGGGGGUGCAGACACACCUGCGCAGAUUACAGGUGACGGUUACAAGAAUGGCGGGGAAGUGAAGAGUACCCAACGACAUUCAGCGAUGAAUGUAGACCCAUUGGGCGGGGAUAAUCAUUCCGGUCCUGGGAGAGGUGGUGACACCAGUCUGAGCUGA
This 333-nucleotide ribosomal RNA is filed under the name Triticum aestivum (bread wheat). Its description in RNAcentral is "partial small subunit ribosomal RNA". The record is from RNAcentral. Lineage: Eukaryota; Viridiplantae; Streptophyta; Magnoliopsida; Poales; Poaceae.